Molecule: transfer RNA, 73 nt
Filed under: Camelus bactrianus (Bactrian camel)
Lineage: Eukaryota; Metazoa; Chordata; Mammalia; Artiodactyla; Camelidae
Also listed under: 3 other names
Rfam family: tRNA
About the family: Transfer RNA (tRNA) molecules are approximately 80 nucleotides in length. Their secondary structure includes four short double-helical elements and three loops (D, anti-codon, and T loops). Further hydrogen bonds mediate the characteristic L-shaped molecular structure. tRNAs have two regions of fundamental functional importance: the anti-codon, which is responsible for specific mRNA codon recognition, and the 3' end, to which the tRNAs corresponding amino acid is attached (by aminoacyl-tRNA synthetases). tRNAs cope with the degeneracy of the genetic code in two manners: having more than one tRNA (with a specific anti-codon) for a particular amino acid; and 'wobble' base-pairing, i.e. permitting non-standard base-pairing at the 3rd anti-codon position.
Source: Rfam by way of RNAcentral
GAGGGUACAGCUCAAAUGGUAGAGCGGAGGCUUAGCAUGCAUGGGGUCCUGGGUUCAAUCCCCAGUACCUCCU